GUUUCUGUAGUGUAGUGGUUAUCACGUUCGCUUUACACGCGAAAGGUCCCCCUGGUUCGAAACCGGGCCAGAUGCA
This is a non-coding RNA of Merluccius polli (Benguela hake), 76 nucleotides long. NCBI's taxonomy places the organism in Eukaryota, Metazoa, Chordata, Actinopteri, Gadiformes, Merlucciidae. The record is from the annotation of a GenBank genome assembly.